CUCGACUGCUGUGCUGCGUGUGACUUGUCUCGGGCUCGUGACGUUGAUGGAUGAGCCGUUUUCAUACUAGAUUUUAAAUUUUGAAAAUGUGCCCACGUUAAUAAAUAAUUCGAUUUUUCACAUUUACAGUUCAGUUUUUGUUCCAAUAUCGUACGCAUGGUUGUGAUUGACGAAAACUUUAGCUUAUUUUGUCACUUUUUUCGUCCAUCACACGUAAACUACAAAAAUGUGAAUCAAUUAGGAAAAGUUUAGUGCUGAAGCAUUUUUAAAAUAAGGCGAAACAAGGUGACAGGCAGCAUACCAUUGUGUAGGUUUUGAAGUUAGCUGGAUAUCUUUUCAGAUGUAUAUUCCUUAGAACUGAAAUUGAGAUGAUGUUGCAUUCCAGUUGAAAAUCAGACAAAUUUUGAAGCUGUAAGAUUACGAAACCAUGCAAUCUACCAUAUCCAGACUUGGGGAUCAAGAGUUUGUGAAAGGUCCCCAAUUGCAGGAAGCCUGUAACUAUCCACACGCGGUCACAGAGGGACUCGCGAUAAGGAGGAACUACUAAACUUUCUACGGCAGUUGUAGACCUCAAGAGUUCCUGGCCUUUUUCAUGAGCCCGACGAUAAAAAGCAGGUCCCCGACUAUUAUCAGUUCAUCAAGGACCCCAUGACUUUGGUGGAGACCGGAUUGCAGAGAGACAUCACCAAUGGCUUUUGGAGUUUAUUACCGAUCAUCGUCAAGAUUUCACUUUUUAUUGAAUAGUAGGCUACGACAAAUGUUGUCCUUCGUGCUUGAUGGUGACCAAGGAGUCGUAUGUCACUUGUGAAUGCCUUCCAUUUAAGUAUAUUUCUUAUUACAUUUUCAGUUUCAACAUGAUCCAAUGAUGAAGAUUCUUAUGAAUUAUUUUAGCAAUUGUCAUUGUAGAGUUCAGACAUCGUAGAUCGUUGUGGACUUGUGGACAAUUUUUAGCUUUCUUCUUCACCUUCUCCUAAUUAAGUAAUUAUUUCUUCAAAUGGGUUAAAUAUGUUGAAUGAAAAAAGUUAAAAUAUUUCUCUCUAAAUGAUUAGAAAUAUAAUUUCUAUCCACUUCCAGUCGAUAGAAGUCGAAACUGUUUUUAUUGAACAAUCCAGUCUCCCCCUUCUUUCUUUAUAGAAAUAUCUUAACAGAGAUGUUAUUUUAUUUUUCUGUAAUAGAGCUACCGUGUUCACUUCUGGUUUCGCCAUCGCAACCGAUAGAAUCGUUGUAGUUCAUUUUUAAAUUUAGAUCUGAUUAAUUAGGGCCUGUGCCACAACCAUCUGGCCACAACGAAGCAUACAACCCCAACCGGGGUCACUAGUCAUACCGGAAUCUCCAAUUGGAGGAAAAUUUCUACGAUAUGUAGAAUUAAAUUUACAUCUGAAUUAAGUUUAUCCAGAUCAAUAAAAAAUCUUUAAUU
This 1417-nucleotide long non-coding RNA is filed under the name Daphnia pulex (common water flea). Its description in RNAcentral is "uncharacterized LOC124202446, transcript variant X2". Lineage: Eukaryota; Metazoa; Arthropoda; Branchiopoda; Diplostraca; Daphniidae. The record is from RNAcentral.